AUGAACGCUGGCGGUGUGCCUAAGGCAUGCAAGUCGUACGAUAAGCCUCACUUCGGUGAGGUGGACAGUGGCAGACGGGUGAGUAAUGCGUAGGAAUCUACCCUGAAGAGGGGAAUAGCCUGACGAAAGUCGGAGUAAUACCCCAUAGUCCCUAUCAGCGAGAGCUGUGUGGGUAAAGAUUUAUCACUUCAGGAGGAGCCUACGUCCUAUCAGGUAGUUGGUAGAGUAAUAGCCUACCAAGCCAAUAACGGGUAGCCGGUGUGAGAGCACGACCGGCCACAAGGUUACUGAAACACGGAGCCUACACCUACGGGUGGCAGCAACCAGGAAUUUUGCGCAAUGGACGAAAGUCUGACGCAGCGACACCGCGUGUGGGAUGACGCUCCUCGGAGUGUAAACCACUGUGGCGAGGGAGGAAAUCCGCCUUAUGGCGGCCUGACAGUACCUCGCUAGAAAGCACCAGCUAACUACGUGCCAGAAGCUUCGGUAAUACGUAGGGUGCAAGCGUUAUCCGGAUUUACUGGGCGUAAAGGGUCCGUAGGCGGCCUAUUAAGUUUCUUGUCCAAGCCCGAGGCUCAACUUCGGAGAGGCAAGAAAUACUAUUAGGAUUGAGUUAGUUCGGGGAAGCUGGAAUUCUCGGUGGAGGGGUGAAAUCCGUAGAUCUCGAGAGGAACGCCAAGCGCGAAGGCAAGCUUCUAGGACUCAACUGACGCUAAGGGACGAAAGCUUGGGUAGCAAAAGGGAUUAGAGACCCCUGUAGUCCAAGCCGUAAACUAUCCUUGCUAGUUGUUCCUGGUUUCGACCGGGGGUGACGUAGUUAACGCGAUAAGCAAGGCGCCUGGGGAGUACAACCGCAAGGUUUAAACUCAAAGGAAUUGGCGGGGGAGCGAACAACCGGUGGAGCAUGUGGUUUAAUUCGAUACAAAGCGAAAAACGUUACCUGGGUUUGACAUCUAGCUGCAACGCCUGAGAAAUCAGGAAGCCUUCGAGGGUGCUAGACAGGUGAUGCAUGGCUGUCGUCAGCUCGUGUUGUGAAACGUCCGCUUAAGUGCGGUAACGAGCGAAACCCUUAUUGUAUGUUACACGUAUCAUACAAAACCGCCCCGCCUCAGCGGGGAGGAAGGAGAGGACGACGUCAAGUCAGCAUGUCCCUUACAUCCAGGGCUACACACAUCCUACAAUGGAAAAGACAACGAGUAGCGACGGAGCGAUCCUGAGCCAAUCUUAACAAACUUUUCCCCAGUUCGAAUUGAAGGCUGCAACUCGCCUUCAUGAAGCCGGAAUCGGUAGUAAUCGCGAAUCAUCAGGUCGCGGUGAAUACGUUCUCGCUCCUUGCACACACUGCCCGCCAAGCCAGCAAAGUCAGCAGCGCCCGAAGCGGUUGACC
RNAcentral lists this ribosomal RNA (1387 nucleotides) under uncultured bacterium. RNAcentral's name for it is "16S ribosomal RNA". It matches the Rfam family "Bacterial small subunit ribosomal RNA". The record is from RNAcentral.